CAGCCGCCGCGGGAAUACGUAGGUGGCAAGCGUUGUCCGGAAUUAUUGGGCGUAAAGGGCUCGCAGGCGGUUUCUAAAGUCUGAUGUGAAAGCCCCCGGCUCAACCGGGGAGGGUCAUUGGAAACUGGGAAAUUUGAGUGCAGGAGAGGAGAGUGGAAUUCCACGUGUAGCGGUGAAAUGCGCAGAGAUGUGGAGGAACACCAGUGGCGAAGGCGACUCUCUGGUCUGUAACUGACGCUGAGGAGCGAAAGCGUGGGGAGCGAACAGGAUUAGAUACCCGAGUAGUCCCUGUCUCUUAUAC
This 301-nucleotide ribosomal RNA is filed under the name uncultured bacterium. RNAcentral describes it as "partial 16S ribosomal RNA". It matches the Rfam family "Bacterial small subunit ribosomal RNA", at positions 509 to 807 of the family's 1533-position model. The record is from RNAcentral.